GUAAAAGUAGUCUAAAAUUUUAGAGACAAGGACUAAUAGUUGUCAAGUCUAGAGCUGAGUAAUUGAGUUAUAUCAAGCAGAGUAUGUGUGUGUGUGGUGUGGUAAGAAGAUUAAUCCUUGAGAUCAAUGUUAUCAAAUUCAGUUUCCCUAUCUCUCUACUAAGUUACUAUACGUUUUGUGUUAGAAAAUAUACAAAACAGAGGAGAGAAAGAAGGGAACAACGUUUUCUUUGUUUCAACAGAGGAGAGUAACGAAACAGAGAGACUAGAGAGACUAAACAAUGAGCUAUAGAACUUAGCAUUAGGAAUACACCCGUCUUCUCUCAUCUUCUCAUAGACUCCUAAAGCUUCAGCUACUUGUUUAGAUUUGCCCAAACCCUUCUCCACCUAUGAGCACGAAGUCACAACUUUUACUUUACUUUUUUUUUGUUUUUGUUUUCAUAUAUUGAAUUUGGUAUGUUUGUCAGCGGGUGUAACUUAUGACAAAAGAAAAUAUUUAUUUAAAUAAAAUACUUUGAAGAGAAGUAGAGAACCAAAGAAAAAGAAAGAAGACAGA
RNAcentral lists this long non-coding RNA (555 nucleotides) under Capsella rubella. RNAcentral's name for it is "long non-coding RNA (CRUB_LNC003721)". The record is from RNAcentral. Lineage: Eukaryota; Viridiplantae; Streptophyta; Magnoliopsida; Brassicales; Brassicaceae.